This 487-nucleotide ribosomal RNA is filed under the name uncultured bacterium. RNAcentral describes it as "SSU rRNA". It matches the Rfam family "Bacterial small subunit ribosomal RNA", at positions 26 to 523 of the family's 1533-position model. The record is from RNAcentral.
AGGACGAACGCUGGCGGCGUGCCUAACACAUGCAAGUCGAACGCUGUCCAUUCGGUGGCAACACUGAUGAAGACGGAGUGGCGAACGGGUGAGUAGCACGUGAGCAACCUGCCCCGAAGACCGGGACAACACCGGGAAACCGGUGCUAAUACCGGAUGCCCCCACCGGGCCGCAUGACCUGGUGAGGAAAUGGAUUCCGCUUCGGGAGGGGCUCGCGGCCUAUCAGCUUGUUGGUGGGGUAAUGGCCUACCAAGGCUUCGACGGGUAGCUGGUCUGAGAGGACGAUCAGCCACACUGGGACUGAGACACGGCCCAGACUCCUACGGGAGGCAGCAGUGGGGAAUCUUGCGCAAUGGGCGAAAGCCUGACGCAGCAACGCCGCGUGAGGGACGAAGGCUUUCUGAGUUGUAAACCUCUUUCAGCAGGAACGAUAGUGACGGUACCUGCAGAAGAAGCACCGGCAACUACGUGCCAGCAGCCGCGGUAA